This is an RNA transcript of Triticum urartu, 1589 nucleotides long. RefSeq lists it as uncharacterized. NCBI's taxonomy places the organism in Eukaryota, Viridiplantae, Streptophyta, Magnoliopsida, Poales, Poaceae. The record is from RefSeq and is a predicted model, not a curated record.
UGAUGCAACCUGACGGUCCGUAAAACAUUACAAUUUACAAGUAACGCCCUUUUUUUAAAUCGAUAUGCAAAUGGGACGCCGUAUGUCGACCUCUCCCCUUCUUUACUCGGCCCUUGAAGGGAAAAAACAAACAUAUCCCUUGCGGCGCCACACAAUGCUCCAGAGCUCAUAGCUAUGGCGAUGGCGGAGGUGUGGAACACGAUGGAUUCGAGUUCCUAUCAGAUCCCCUUGAUAGAUUUCCCCUGUGGGAUCUUACCGGCGGCGACUCCAUACUCCGAAACGAACCCACUGGAACUCUCCUCUGCACACCCUCCGAGUCUAGCAUCGGCGACGCGGGUGAGGCAGCGCUUGGAAGCAGAUUUCAACAGCGCUUGCAGGGGCGCGACACUGUCAGCUCCAACCUCAGAGCAGUCAACUAGCAAAGAUGAUCCUCAGACGCCCGGCUGGACCAAAAGGGUUCGCGUUGGGCAUGCACCAACUGAACGUCCACCAUGUGCUGGCGGGAUAAGUGCCCUGGAGAAAGCAUUGAGAGGUUAUGCAAAUGAGAAGACUGCCACAGUCAUUGUCCCUGGUCCCUGCUGUUGGAAACAAAUUCAAUUCACUCGGGGAGGCACGUGACUUUUAUAAAAAAAAAUAAAAAAAAUGAAACCAACCCAAAGGCUAACCCUCGUUGACUUUUCUUUAUAGGAGAAACUCCAUGACAUGUGUCUUUUACAAUCUGUAUUCCUGGAAAAUUAGGUUCAGGAUAAGGUACGGCAAGAGCACGCAUGUUGAGAGAACAAAAUGCAUGCAGAAGAUCGUUUGUGGUUGCUCGGUACGCACUGUUUUCAAAAUUGUUGGCAAUGUAACACCACACCUAGCGUAUCUUUUGUAUAAUGUCAACUAAAAAAACUCACACCUAUAUGUUUUAAUAUUAUUAUUUUAGCCUAAAAAUUUGGGGUCCCCAAAAGAAGCAACACACAUUCCUGCCGUUGUUCCAUGGAUCAGUGAAGGGCUGUCAGUGGCCGCGAGCAACUCGUGCCGAGAAGUUUGUCCUGAUGUCGUGUCGACGAUUCUUGAUCUAAAUGGUUUGCCAGACAGCUGCAACGCAUUAGUGGACUCCCGGCCAGUCGACGAGCAAAGACGACCCACCGUCAUCAGGAUGAACGCAAAAGAGUUCGCGUUGAACACCGCUGCUGUGCGCCGGGAGGGUAUGUGCACCAGAGAAGACUUUUGAAGGAUUAGCAGAGAAGAAGAGACGCAAUUUAGUUGUUCAUGGAGUUGGGGCUACAUUCGACUCUGCUUGGUCAGGCAUACGACCUGUACAACUUGGUUUUUUUUUUGAAACGUCACCGAGGGGGCAGAAAAGACUGCCCACCUAAAUUUUCAUAUAAUCAGCUCAAAAAGAGCCUGUCAUACAAGGGAGGGAGAGAGAUAGGUGUAGGGAGGCCCCGACACCCUUACAAUCCCCACCGGGGACUGGGAACCAGGAAACUACAGCAAGGUAGCAAAACGCUGCACCCACGAUUCUAAGAUAGUUUUGCAUAUAGUGCGGGAGCAUCUCCAUCUCCAGAGAGAGACAUCGGCAGCGAUGCAGCGCACUACUUCAA